This 248-nucleotide long non-coding RNA is filed under the name Sus scrofa (pig). RNAcentral describes it as "lncRNA (ENSSSCG00025000477.1, ENSSSCG00065042394.1, ENSSSCG00070011113.1)". The record is from RNAcentral. Lineage: Eukaryota; Metazoa; Chordata; Mammalia; Artiodactyla; Suidae.
AUGACUCCAGAAUUUUACAUGGAUCCUCCAAGAUACAAUUCACUUGCUCAUACCCUGAAGACAAGCCAAGUUAUCCUUCAGACAGGAAAUGGGAUGUUGGUGGUGGCCCCAAGAAGUGCACAGACUCUGAACUGGAAGAUGAGAGACCACUGUGGAAGGGAUCCAGGUAAGGGAGUUUCUGUGAUCCAGGCCAUGGUGGCAUUAAGCAGUAAAGACUAGUUUCCUCAUGCUGCCCCACUAAAUUCUAG